AGCUACAUCAUUUAUAAAGUUUAAUUGGUAAUACUUUUAUAACAAAUUUAUGACAGAUCAUGAUUUCUUGGUUAAUGUCAAGUUGUCAUAACAGAGACACUUUUGUCUAGGUUAAUGUCUAGUUGUCAUAA
Long non-coding RNA from Xiphophorus couchianus (Monterrey platyfish), 131 nucleotides. RefSeq lists it as uncharacterized. The transcript is spliced from 2 exons. Lineage: Eukaryota; Metazoa; Chordata; Actinopteri; Cyprinodontiformes; Poeciliidae. The record is from RefSeq and is a predicted model, not a curated record.